CGCGUAGGCGGUUUAACAAGUCGCAUGUGAAAUACCAGGGCUCAACUCUGGGGGGUCAUGCGAAACUGUUGGACUUGGGUGUAGUAGAGGAAAGCGGAAUUCCUGGUGUAGCGGUAAAAUGCGUAGAGAUCAGGAGGAACACCGGUGGCGAAGGCGGCUUUCUGGGCUAUAACUGACGCUGAGGCGCGAAAGCGUGGGGAGCAAACAGGAUUAGAUACCCUGGUAGUCCACGCUGUAAACGAUGAAUACUAGGUGUAGGGGACGCAGGUCUUCUGUGCCGGAGCUAACGCAAUAAGUAUUCCGCCUGGGGAGUACGGCCGCAAGGUUGAA
Molecule: ribosomal RNA, 330 nt
Filed under: uncultured bacterium
Lineage: Bacteria
Description: bacterial SSU rRNA
Rfam family: Bacterial small subunit ribosomal RNA
Source: RNAcentral